This is a long non-coding RNA of Ursus maritimus (polar bear), 1669 nucleotides long. The record is from Ensembl. NCBI's taxonomy places the organism in Eukaryota, Metazoa, Chordata, Mammalia, Carnivora, Ursidae.
GUUUUCUCCAUGGAGCUAAAUAUAACUUUUGAGCAGGGAAUAUGGUGACUCUGCCAGGGGAGGGAUCCCAGGCUGAGCCAGAGGGCCAGGGAUCGGGCAGGCCAGGGAUGGGAGGCUAGGAAUGCUUCUCAGUGGACCUGAUCACAGAUUGAGUUGAGGAGCUGUGGAACCAGCUCUCCAGAAGCGUCUCCAGCACAAACUUAGGAGGAUAUAGAAAGAAAAGAAGGGGACUGGAAUUGGGGAGACAGCAUGCUGACGGAAAGCACAGCUUGACUCAGGGAGGCUGAGAAAGUGGUGAAGGACCGUACCAGAAGAAAGGCUUGUUUGAAACACCCUAUGGCAGAGCCCAAGUGACACUGUUUAAAGCAGCAUGUGGAAUGAUGGCCAAGGCCAGUGCUCUCCUGGAAGUUCAAAGUGUGAGAAUGGGAGGACGGAGCCAGCCAGGAAAACACUCUGCUUCUCCGAGGACUUCAAAGACUGAGAGAAGACGCAGAACUGGAGGAAUGUGUAGACUAUGAAAGAAAUCCUUCCUCCUGAUCCUCUGACUCCGGAUGUUUCCUCAUCCAUUCAUUCGGAAGGUGCAGAGGAGGGAGCCGAGCCCUGGGACCAGACAGACAGCCAUCUGCCACACAGAGGCCUGCUCAUAUGCCCGGAAAGUCAAGAGCCACACAUGCUGCAUUUCUGCUCUACGGGCCUUGAAGUGGAGAAGACGGCUUGUUGCCAUUUUAUUCGGUCCCGUGGCUCCCGUGAAGCUCCAGUCCCACACUCCUCACUUGCCUCUUAAAGGUCCAUCUGUUUCCCCUUUCAACAAAUUGACCUGUGUGGGAAAUAAUACCGAAGACCCUCCUCCAAGCUGUGACAGAUCAUCGAAAAUUGCUAGGAAAAUAGCUGCGUAACAACGACAAUACUACUUUCAGACCCUGAGAUCCCUAAGCGUGCUUUUUACCCCCAGAGUGUUUUCAAAGCAUGUGUCACUGCUUCGGGGCAGGCUUGUACCGUGAGCAUCCUCAUAACUGACACUUCAUCUGCGGCCCAGUUUACUUUUGUAUACGUUUAGUCCUGCAUACAGAUCCUAGCCGUGGCGACUGACUCAAAAUAACUCAUUUGGGGGCACUACAAAGAGAGUCUUUAUCAGCUGUUUUAAUAACAACACAACCCUCAUUAAGCAGCUCCGUUUGGCUGCUUAGAUAUUCCUUCUCAAAUCGUGUCAUACACAUUCUUGGAAACUAUAUUAAAACACUGCCUAUUCUCCCAUCCUCCACCCCCUUCAGUCUUUGUUUAUUGCUUUAGUUCAUUCCUGGAUUUUCUCCCCAAGCUGUGGCUAAGGAGAGCCACGGAUAAGUUCAUUUUUUUGCUUCAAAGUGACAGAAAUGUCUGAUUUCUCUCUGGUUUUGGAAAAACUGAGCAGUCAUAGAAGAUCGAAAGCAGAAAAUCUCGAACCUCUUACAGGGAGCUGCCUCUUGCUCUCCUUCCCUCUCUCCUUCUCUUUCUUCUUCCUGUCCUUUCCUUCCCUCCCUCCGUGUUUCCUAAAUAUCCGUGAUGUGCCCGCCAUUGUUCUAGAUUAGGAACCAGACACACAGGUGAGCGAAGUACAGUGUCCCGCAGUCUUCUGAAUCUCUUCAAGAAGGCAACCAGAGAAAUAAAUAACAUGGCUUUCGUUGGUAUGAAA